CCAGUUUUCACUCCGGGACGUUUUUUUUCAUUUGCGCUUGCCUUCUGUGGAUAAUAACCGUUUCAUCGGGGAAAGACAUAAUCGCCAAAAACGACACGAUAGCAGUUUACCAAUCAAGUACGUACGACACGUGUUAUGCUUCCAAUGUUUUUAACAAUAUGACACUUCAUACUUUGGUCGUUCCGGACUCAACACUAUGCCUAACAUGUAGCGCAACAGUCGGGAACAAAUCACCCUGGCUGCAGAUUGACUUUGGCAGAAAAACGAUGAUGCGAAACUUACGUAUUUUUGGACGUGAUUAUGAUACACCCGGACAGAGUAGCAAUCUUCUUGUGUCAAUCAGCAACACUUCACACUUUCUUAACCAAAACUUCUCUACGUGGGAAGAUUUUGGAUGGAUAAAUGCCUC
Long non-coding RNA from Mya arenaria, 409 nucleotides. RefSeq lists it as uncharacterized. The transcript is spliced from 3 exons. The record is from RefSeq and is a predicted model, not a curated record. NCBI's taxonomy places the organism in Eukaryota, Metazoa, Mollusca, Bivalvia, Myida, Myidae.